RNAcentral lists this ribosomal RNA (1347 nucleotides) under uncultured bacterium. Its description in RNAcentral is "bacterial SSU rRNA". It matches the Rfam family "Bacterial small subunit ribosomal RNA", at positions 28 to 1381 of the family's 1533-position model. The record is from RNAcentral.
GACGAACGCUGGCGGCGUGCUUAACACAUGCAAGUCGAACGAUGAAGCCUAGCUUGCUAGGUGGAUUAGUGGCGAACGGGUGAGUAAUACGUGAGUAACCUACCUUUAACUCUGGGAUAAGCCUGGGAAACUGGGUCUAAUACCGGAUACGACCAAUCUCCGCAUGGGGUGUUGGUGGAAAGCGUUAUGUAGUGGUUAUAGAUGGGCUCACGGCCUAUCAGCUUGUUGGUGAGGUAACGGCUCACCAAGGCGACGACGGGUAGCCGGCCUGAGAGGGUGACCGGCCACACUGGGACUGAGACACGGCCCAGACUCCUACGGGAGGCAGCAGUGGGGAAUAUUGCACAAUGGGCGCAAGCCUGAUGCAGCGACGCCGCGUGAGGGAUGACGGCCUUCGGGUUGUAAACCUCUGUUAGCAGGGAAGAAGAGAAAUUGACGGUACCUGCAGAGAAAGCGCCGGCUAACUACGUGCCAGCAGCCGCGGUAAUACGUAGGGCGCGAGCGUUGUCCGGAAUUAUUGGGCGUAAAGAGCUUGUAGGCGGUUUGUCGCGUCUGCUGUGAAGGCCGGGGCUUAACCCCGUGUAUUGCAGUGGGUACGGGCAGACUAGAGUGCAGUAGGGGAGACUGGAAUUCCUGGUGUAGCGGUGGAAUGCGCAGAUAUCAGGAGGAACACCGAUGGCGAAGGCAGGUCUCUGGGCUGUAACUGACGCUGAGAAGCGAAAGCAUGGGGAGCGAACAGGAUUAGAUGCCCUGGUAGCCCAUGCCGUAAACGUUGGGCACUAGGUGUGGGGGACAUUCCACGUUUUCCGCGCCGUAGCUAACGCAUUAAGUGCCCCGCCUGGGGAGUACGGCCGCAAGGCUAAAACUCAAAGAAAUUGACGGGGGCCCGCACAAGCGGCGGAGCAUGCGGAUUAAUUCGAUGCAACGCGAAGAACCUUACCAAGGCUUGACAUAUACUGGACCGCAUCAGAGAUGGUGUUUCCCUUCGGGGCUGGUAUACAGGUGGUGCAUGGUUGUCGUCAGCUCGUGUCGUGAGAUGUUGGGUUAAGUCCCGCAACGAGCGCAACCCUCGUUCUAUGUUGCCAGCACGUUAUGGUGGGGACUCAUAGGAGACUGCCGGGGUCAACUCGGAGGAAGGUGGGGAUGACGUCAAAUCAUCAUGCCCCUUAUGUCUUGGGCUUCACGCAUGCUACAAUGGCCGGUACAGAGGGUUGCGAUACUGUGAGGUGGAGCUAAUCCCUAAAAGCCGGUCUCAGUUCGGAUUGGGGUCUGCAACUCGACCCCAUGAAGUCGGAGUCGCUAGUAAUCGCAGAUCAGCAACGCUGCGGUGAAUACGUUCCUGGGCCU